GACAGAUAUGCAGGGACAGACUGGCAGAGACAGGGAGUCUCAGCACUGGUGGGAGAUAUUUGAAGUAGCCAGUUGUUGCUGGAGAGAGCGAGGGAGAAGGAGCCAGUCAGAGCGCACGACAAGACGUGGCCGGUAGCAGUCAGUCAACGAGGGUAAUAUCCCGGUGCGAGCCAGCACACGGGCAUACAGAGCGAGAGAACAAGACGAGCAGAGAGGAGUAGGACAAGAGAGAGAAGGGAAUGGGCUGGCUGGAAGCAUAAAGAGAUGACCCUGAUCACAACGGCACACAGUAUAGAGGGAUGGAUGGAGCGAGG
Salmo salar (Atlantic salmon) is the source of this 314-nucleotide non-coding RNA. NCBI's taxonomy places the organism in Eukaryota, Metazoa, Chordata, Actinopteri, Salmoniformes, Salmonidae. The record is from RefSeq and is a predicted model, not a curated record.